GUACACUCCUGCGGGAGGCAGCAGUGGGGAAUUUUGGACAAUGGGCGAAAGCCUGAUCCAGCAAUGCCGCGUGAGUGAAGAAGGCCUUCGGGUUGUAAAGCUCUUUUGUCAGGGAAGAAACGGUGAGAGCUAAUAUCUUUUGCUAAUGACGGUACCUGAAGAAUAAGCACCGGCUAACUACGUGCCAGCAGCCGCGGUAAUACGUAGGGUGCAAGCGUUAAUCGGAAUUACUGGGCGUAAAGCGUGCGCAGGCGGUUUUGUAAGUCUGAUGUGAAAUCCCCGGGCUCAACCUGGGAAUUGCAUUGGAGACUGCAAGGCUAGAAUCUGGCAGAGGGGGGUAGAAUUCCACGUGUAGCAGUGAAAUGCGUAGAUAUGUGGAGGAACACCGAUGGCGAAGGCAGCCCCCUGGGUCAAGAUUGACGCUCAUGCACGAAAGCGUGGGGAGCAAACAGGAUUAGAAACCCCGGUAGUCCCAUGAU
This 479-nucleotide ribosomal RNA is filed under the name uncultured organism. RNAcentral's name for it is "partial 16S ribosomal RNA". It matches the Rfam family "Bacterial small subunit ribosomal RNA", at positions 331 to 801 of the family's 1533-position model. The record is from RNAcentral.